CGUCCAGACUCCUACGGGAGGCAGCAGUGAGGAAUAUUGGUCAAUGGGCGCGAGCCUGAACCAGCCAAGUCGCGUGAGGGAAGACGGUCCUAUGGAUUGUAAACCUCUUUUGUCAGGGAGCAAUUGGCGCUACGUGUAGCGUUAUCGAGAGUACCUGAAGAAAAAGCAUCGGCUAACUCCGUGCCAGCAGCCGCGGUAAUACGGAGGAUGCGAGCGUUAUCCGGAUUUAUUGGGUUUAAAGGGUGCGUAGGCGGAAUGCCAAGUCAGCGGUAAAAUCGCGGGGCUCAACCUCGCUCCGCCGUUGAAACUGGCGUUCUUGAGUGGGCGAGAAGUAUGCGGAAUGCGUGGUGUAGCGGUGAAAUGCACAGAUAUCACGCAGAACUCCGAUUGCGAAGGCAGCAUACCGGCGCUCAACUGACGCUCAUGCACGAAAGUGUGGGUAUCGAACAGGAUUAGAUACCCCCGUAAU
This 469-nucleotide ribosomal RNA is filed under the name uncultured bacterium. Its description in RNAcentral is "bacterial SSU rRNA". It matches the Rfam family "Bacterial small subunit ribosomal RNA", at positions 328 to 794 of the family's 1533-position model. The record is from RNAcentral.